RNAcentral lists this ribosomal RNA (433 nucleotides) under uncultured bacterium. RNAcentral describes it as "partial 16S ribosomal RNA". It matches the Rfam family "Bacterial small subunit ribosomal RNA", at positions 29 to 507 of the family's 1533-position model. The record is from RNAcentral.
AACGAACGCUGGCGGCAUGCCUAACACAUGCAAGUCGGACGAGACCUUCGGGCCUAGUGGCGCACGGGUGCGUAACGCGUGGGAACCUGCCCUUAGGUUCGGAAUAACCCCCCGAAAGGGGUGCUAAUACCGGAUAAUGUCUUCGGACCAAAGAUUUAUCGCCUUUGGAUGGGCCCGCGUUGGAUUAGCUAGUUGGUAGGGUAAAAGCCUACCAAGGCGACGAUCCAUAGCUGGUCUGAGAGGAUGAUCAGCCACACUGGGACUGAGACACGGCCCAGACUCCUACGGGAGGCAGCAGUGGGGAAUAUUGGACAAUGGGCGAAAGCCUGAGCCAGCAAUGCCGCGUGAGUGAUGAAGGCCUUAGGGUUGUAAAGCUCUUUUACCCGGGAUGAUAAUGACAGUACCGGGAGAAUAAGCUCCGGCUAACUCCGUG